This is a long non-coding RNA of Myotis myotis, 787 nucleotides long. RefSeq lists it as uncharacterized. Lineage: Eukaryota; Metazoa; Chordata; Mammalia; Chiroptera; Vespertilionidae. The transcript has 3 exons. The record is from RefSeq and is a predicted model, not a curated record.
GUGCCUUCUCCAGGGGCGUGCCUUGCCGUGACUGUGAGAACUGUCUGUCCUGUUCUUUCUAUGUGGAAAUGUCCCUGUUGACUGUCACCCCGGCAUCGGUACCAAGUUGCUGUUCCAGUGCAUGAAGGCCCUUAUCUGCAGGAAGAAGCAACGUCCAGGAAGCAGUGUUCAGAGACCUGUCUGGCACACAAGCAGGCAUCUUUAAAAGGGGGAACCUCUUUCUGCCAGAGCGAUCCCUGCGGAAAGUGGCUUUCAGUAGAGCUAAAAGGAACACACCCUGGGGCAGCUCUGCUUUGAACGUUGCUGUCCAUUUAAUAAACAGCCCUUCUCUUCUGACCAGCACCUUCGCCUUCCAACACCAGGAACAGCAAGCAGCAGGACUGAGUAUAAACACUUGGAAGACAAAGAAAAGAAAAAAAGAAUGGAAGCAGCCAGAGAGAUUUUUCAGAGGUCACCUCAGCUGGCUGAGGAAGCCAACCUGAUGUUAGCAGGAGAGUGAGAAGGAAGGAAUAAAGAAAACCUUUGAAGCUUCCAGGAAAGUCAAUCCAGUCCCUGACAUAUCUGCUCCGAUAUUAGAGUCUGAGUUGCUGGAGUUACCUGUCUGGUAUCUUUUAUGAGCACUGCUUGUACACAAAAUAGUCUUCUGUGUUCCCUUUUAAUGAAUGCAUUUUGGAAUGUAAAUGUCUUUUCUAAUUGUUUAAAAUUUAUUAACAAUUUUACAGAAAAAGGUGCAUAUAAAACAACUUGGUAGAGCUUUUGGAUCCUCAGUUCUUAUUAGUGCACUACA